GGAGGCGCCAUGACGAAGUCAUACUAUGAAUUGCGCCGACCGACGCGCCGCCGAGCGGCAGCGAGGGGGCAUUACAUU
Molecule: small RNA, 78 nt
Filed under: uncultured Eubacterium sp.
Lineage: Bacteria; Bacillati; Bacillota; Clostridia; Eubacteriales; Eubacteriaceae
Description: GA-cis RNA
Rfam family: GA-cis RNA
Source: RNAcentral